This is a long non-coding RNA of Triticum dicoccoides, 240 nucleotides long. RefSeq lists it as uncharacterized. The record is from RefSeq and is a predicted model, not a curated record. Lineage: Eukaryota; Viridiplantae; Streptophyta; Magnoliopsida; Poales; Poaceae. The transcript is spliced from 2 exons.
GUGAAAUUGGUCAAGAAUGGAUAAGAGUGGGAUGGGGAUUACGAUGAGAUGCUCAAUCUUAGUGACCAUGAUGAGGUUCAACCUGAUGAUGUUCAAGAGGAGAUCGACCUAGAUGAUUAUGAUGAGAUGCUCGAGUUCUUAGGUCCCAAACGACUAGAGAUGUUGAUGACAUGCCAAGUGACGACAUUGAAGAGCAUGAAGACCAUGAGUUGGAUCAAGAAACGAAGGGGAAGAAGGAAA